ACUGUGAAGUCACAAGAGGCCCUGAGCUCUGUGGGCCCCAGGUGCCCCGGGAAAACUUGGGGGAGAAUGGGCAUCCCACCCCAGCACUUUCUAGGAAGAAGGGCAGCAUUUUGAAGGGCUGGAAGUAGAGGAAGGAGGUUGCGGGUAGAAGACUCCAUACUUUCUGUGACGCCUAUUCCUUAGUCAGAGGCAUGGCUUGCCUGGGCCUCUGGGUGCAGCUGCACAGAUUCAAGCAGCCUGAAGGAAAGGUGACUGACAGCUAAUGAUCUGAAAAGAACUUGUCUCAACUCAACGUCAUUCCUGGCAUUAUCGAACAAAGCAAUAAACCUCACAGAAUGGAAGCUACAGUGUCCAGGGCCAGCUCUGCUAAGGUAACCAAAGACAGAGAAGGAGGCAAAAGUGACAGAAGAAACUCAUGGGAAACCAACAGAAAUAUAAUGGCUUUGGCAGAAAUGCAAUUAUCAAUUGGGAGCUUGUGAUGAAUGUUUUCUCAGUAUCCUAUGCUGAAAACAGGUAGAUACUAAUAUCGAUCUUCAAGGGAGGGCUGUUGAGUAUUGAAUAAGACAAAAACAUGGAAGCAAUCAGCACCAUGCUGAACAACAGAAGUUUCAACAUUCUGCCAACAGAGUAACUCCUGGAAGAUUGGCACAGAAGAAGGCACAAGGAGAGCCUUUAUAUAACCAAAGAUAUUUUUGGACCAUGAAUUCAGAAAUUCUCGGAGCCACCCAUCAGUGCCUGAGCUUCAGUGAGUCCAUAUCCCAUGUCACCCACGGCAAAGGAGACUCUAAGACUUCUGAAGAGUUUCUUGCUUCUUUCCUGUGGGGCAGUGACUCCACUUCCCAGCAGUAAUGGAAUAUCCUGAAUUAGCUACAUUAAUGUUAGAACCAUUUGGACCUCACCCAGGACUUCAACUACAUUAUGCUAAAGUUACAGAACCCAAAUUUGGCAACUGUCUGCAUCUGAACAACAGAAGUUUCAACAUUCUGCCAACAGAGUAACUCCUGGACGAUUGGCACAGAAGAAGGCACAAGGUUCUAGUAUGUUACGUUUAUGUUCCCCUGCUUUCUACAAUCCUGUUCAAAGAGUUGCUGACUUAACCACAGAGAGGAUUCCAGAACCUGAGACACAGAAUAAACUUGAGCAAUCAUAGUCCAUCCACUUCAUUGUCUCAUCAAAAACCAAAGGUCCAGUGAAGCUCUGGAACUCAACGCUGUAAAGGAGCGAAGGAGCUUCUAUACAGAGCCUGGAUGCCUGUCUCCUUAUCCUACUUCAGUGGACUUGACUGCAAUCCGGAUUAUGCUGUUUUCUAAGCAUUUAAAAUAAAAUAAAAAGUAUAAUAGUGUGAUAAGUUCUUUCACAAAGCAAGCAAUCACAUUUAUGUUUCUACUUACAUUUGGGUUUUCCAAAUAUGUGUGUGUGUGUGUGUGUGUGUGUGUGUGUGUGUAUGUAGACUUUAAACAUGGUGCAUCCAUCAUGUUGCACUAAAUCAAAACCACCAAAUAAUGAUGUAGAACUAAUAAAUCAAAACCAUCAAAUAAUGACAUAGAAAUCCAAUUCUCCCACCUUACACCCAUUAAGAUGGCUACU
This 1587-nucleotide long non-coding RNA is filed under the name Homo sapiens (human). RNAcentral's name for it is "PREDICTED lncRNA (TCONS_00067689)". The record is from RNAcentral. Lineage: Eukaryota; Metazoa; Chordata; Mammalia; Primates; Hominidae.